This 22-nucleotide small nuclear RNA is filed under the name Arabidopsis thaliana (thale cress). Its description in RNAcentral is "snRNA_15249". The record is from RNAcentral. Lineage: Eukaryota; Viridiplantae; Streptophyta; Magnoliopsida; Brassicales; Brassicaceae.
GACCCGCCACGCCGGGCUAUAA